Molecule: ribosomal RNA, 468 nt
Filed under: uncultured bacterium
Lineage: Bacteria
Description: partial 16S ribosomal RNA
Rfam family: Bacterial small subunit ribosomal RNA
Source: RNAcentral
GACGAACGCUGGCGGCGUGCUUAACACAUGCAAGUCGAACGGAAAGGCCCUGCUUUUGUGGGGUGCUCGAGUGGCGAACGGGUGAGUAACACGUGAGUAACCUGCCCUUGACUUUGGGAUAACUUCAGGAAACUGGGGCUAAUACCGGAUAGGAGCUCCUGCUGCAUGGUGGGGGUUGGAAAGUUUCGGCGGGUGGGGAUGGACUCGCGGCUUAUGAGCUUGUUGGUGGGGUAGUGGCUUACCAAGGGUUUGAAGGGUAGCCGGCCUGAGAGGGUGACCGGCCACAAUGGGCCUGAGAGACGCACCAGACUCCUACGGGAGGCAGCAGUGGGGAAUAUGGCACAAUGGGCGGAAGCCUGAUGCAGCAACGCCGCGUGCGGGAUGACGGCCUUUGGGUUGUAAACCGCUGUAGCUUGUGACGAAGCGUGAGUGACGGUAAUGGGUAAAGAAGCACCGGCUAACUACGUG